RNAcentral lists this ribosomal RNA (455 nucleotides) under Streptococcus sp. oral taxon 064. Its description in RNAcentral is "bacterial SSU rRNA". It matches the Rfam family "Bacterial small subunit ribosomal RNA", at positions 28 to 470 of the family's 1533-position model. Lineage: Bacteria; Bacillati; Bacillota; Bacilli; Lactobacillales; Streptococcaceae. The record is from RNAcentral.
GACGAACGCGGCGGCGUGCCUAAUACAUGCAAGUAGAACGCUGAAGGAGGAGCUUGCUCUUCUGGAUGAGUUGCGAACGGGUGAGUAACGCGUAGGUAACCUGCCUGGUAGCGGGGGAUAACUAUUGGAAACGAUAGCUAAUACCGCAUAAGAGUAGAUGUUGCAUGACAUUUGCUUAAAAGGUGCAAUUGCAUCACUACCAGAUGGACCUGCGUUGUAUUAGCUAGUUGGUGAGGUAACGGCUCACCAAGGCGACGAUACAUAGCCGACCUGAGAGGGUGAUCGGCCACACUGGGACUGAGACACGGCCCAGACUCCUACGGGAGGCAGCAGUAGGGAAUCUUCGGCAAUGGACGGAAGUCUGACCGAGCAACGCCGCGUGAGUGAAGAAGGUUUUCGGAUCGUAAAGCUCUGUUGUAAGAGAAGAACGAGUGUGAGAGUGGAAAGUUCACACU